Molecule: long non-coding RNA, 291 nt
Filed under: Gossypium barbadense (sea-island cotton)
Lineage: Eukaryota; Viridiplantae; Streptophyta; Magnoliopsida; Malvales; Malvaceae
Description: long non-coding RNA (GBAR_LNC006182)
Source: RNAcentral
UUUUCCUCAAAACUUAUGCCCCAAUUUAUCUUACCUUCACUGAAACAAAACGCUUUUAGAUGUUGAUAUUCAACCUACCAUUUCAUGCCCAUGUUCUCCUCCUUGCUACUUGCAGCCAAUGUCUACCACUCUUAAUUGUCAUUAUUUUCAAAUGUAACAACUUUACCAACAGUAGCAAAUACCUAAUGCAACUCAUUCGACUUCAGAAAAAAGCUCAGGCUAGAAUUUCCGGUGGGAGGGGGUCACCACUUGAAGUUAAGAAGGUCCAAAGCAUUCAUCAGUAAACAAGCA